Molecule: ribosomal RNA, 253 nt
Filed under: uncultured bacterium
Lineage: Bacteria
Description: partial 16S ribosomal RNA
Rfam family: Bacterial small subunit ribosomal RNA
Source: RNAcentral
UACAGAGGUCCCAAGCGUUGUUCGGAUUCAUUGGGCGUAAAGGGUGCGUAGGUGGCGUCGUAAGUCGGGUGUGAAAUUUCGGAGCUCAACUCCGAAACUGCAUUCGAUACUGCGGUGCUUGAGGACUGGAGAGGAGACUGGAAUUUACGGUGUAGCAGUGAAAUGCGUAGAGAUCGUAAGGAAGACCAGUGGCGAAGGCGGGUCUCUGGACAGUUCCUGACGCUGAGGCACGAAGGUCAGGGGAGCAAACGGG